This 360-nucleotide unclassified non-coding RNA is filed under the name Acacia havilandiorum. RNAcentral describes it as "partial external transcribed spacer". Lineage: Eukaryota; Viridiplantae; Streptophyta; Magnoliopsida; Fabales; Fabaceae. The record is from RNAcentral.
CGUCCACCCAACGGUCGGCAGGCGAUCCGCGUCGGUCGCGCGAGGUGGUAUGGUUCCCCAGAGGCCGGUUCUUGUGCUGCCUACCCGUUCAGGGGAAGCGGGCCACUUGAUGUAAGCCUCCAUCCGGCGCCCUCCAACGGGCGCAGGAGGACAACGGAGCACCCCCCGCGUUCCACCGAGCCUUCGUCGGUCGCGUGGCGCGCGGGGACGUGCGAUGCUCUCGGACCCAGCGAACGCCGUGGGCGAGGACUCACGUCCCAGUCCCGAUAGAAGCUUCGAUAUAAUGCUGACGGCCGCUCCCGCCCCCGACCGCCCCGGCGGCGCGUGGGCGAGGCGCGGCGUCGCGGAGGAAUGCUACCU